AGAGUUUGAUCCUGGCUCAGGAUGAACGCUGGCGGCGUGCCUAACACAUGCAAGUCGAGCGAGAUUUAGUGUAGUGGAGACUUCGGUCAAAGUGAAACUGAUGAAAGCGGCGGACGGGUGAGUAACGCGUGGGCAACCUGUCCCAUACAAAGGGAUAGCCACUGGAAACGGUGAUUAAUACCUUAUAAGUCGGUAGUCUCGCAUGAGACAGCCGACAAAGAUUUAUCGGUAUGGGAUGGGCCCGCGUUUGAUUAGCUAGUUGGUGAGGUAACGGCUCACCAAGGCGACGAUCAAUAGCCGACCUGAGAGGGUGAUCGGCCACACUGGGACUGAGACACGGCCCAGACUCCUACGGGAGGCAGCAGUGGGGAAUAUUGCACAAUGGGCGCAAGCCUGAUGCAGCGACGCCGCGUGAGGGAUGACGGCCUUCGGGUUGUAAACCUCUUUCAGUAGGGAAGAAGCGAGAGUGACGGUACCUGCAGAAGAAGCGCCGGCUAACUACGUGCCAGCAGCCGCGGUAAUACGUAGGGCGCAAGCGUUAUCCGGAAUUAUUGGGCGUAAAGAGCUCGUAGGCGGUUUGUCGCGUCUGCCGUGAAAGUCCGGGGCUCAACUCCGGAUCUGCGGUGGGUACGGGCAGACUAGAGUGAUGUAGGGGAGACUGGAAUUCCUGGUGUAGCGGUGAAAUGCGCAGAUAUCAGGAGGAACACCGAUGGCGAAGGCAGGUCUCUGGGCAUUAACUGACGCUGAGGAGCGAAAGCAUGGGGAGCGAACAGGAUUAGAUACCCUGGUAGUCC
RNAcentral lists this ribosomal RNA (794 nucleotides) under uncultured bacterium. RNAcentral describes it as "bacterial SSU rRNA". It matches the Rfam family "Bacterial small subunit ribosomal RNA", at positions 8 to 796 of the family's 1533-position model. The record is from RNAcentral.